GGCUUACCAAGGCAAUGAUGCAUAGCCGAGUUGAGAGACUGAUCGGCCACAUUGGGACUGAGACACGGCCCAAACUCCUACGGGAGGCAGCAGUAGGGAAUCUUCCACAAUGGACGAAAGUCUGAUGGAGCAACGCCGCGUGAGUGAAGAAGGGUUUCGGCUCGUAAAGCUCUGUUGGUAGUGAAGAAAGAUAGAGGUAGUAACUGGCCUUUAUUUGACGGUAAUUACUUAGACAGUCACGGCUAACUACGUGCCAGCAGCCGCGGUAAUACGUAGGUGGCAAGCGUUGUCCGGAUUUAUUGGGCGUAAAGCGAGUGCAGGCGGUUCAAUAAGUCUGAUGUGAAAGCCUUCGGCUCAACCGGAGAAUUGCAUCAGAAACUGUUGAACUUGAGUGCAGAAGAGGAGAGUGGAACUCCAUGUGUAGCGGUGGAAUGCGUAGAUAUAUGGAAGAACACCAGUGGCGAAGGCGGCUCUCUGGUCUGCAACUGACGCUGAGGCUCGAAAGCAUGGGUAGCGAACAGGAUUAGAUACCCUGGUAGUCCAUGCCGUAAACGAUGAGUGCUAAGUGUUGGGAGGUUUCCGCCUCUCAGUGCUGCAGCUAACG
This 604-nucleotide ribosomal RNA is filed under the name uncultured bacterium. RNAcentral describes it as "bacterial SSU rRNA". It matches the Rfam family "Bacterial small subunit ribosomal RNA", at positions 262 to 857 of the family's 1533-position model. The record is from RNAcentral.